Molecule: small RNA, 192 nt
Filed under: Histoplasma capsulatum var. duboisii H88
Lineage: Eukaryota; Fungi; Ascomycota; Eurotiomycetes; Onygenales; Ajellomycetaceae
Description: Histoplasma capsulatum H88 hypothetical RNA
Source: RNAcentral
CAACACUGAGUGCCCUUCACAACAUACAUGUACUGUGCAUCCAUCGUCGACUCUUGUGGCGGAGCUUUCUUUUUUCAGAAUAUUGCUUGGAAACUCUGCCUCAGUUUCCACGGAAGGCCGAAACUCCAUCCAGGAGAAUCAACCUAGGAGCUGGGGUGCCAGAGGAUGGUCUUGUGUGUGAACAUAGAACGA